This is a long non-coding RNA of Hyalella azteca, 3032 nucleotides long. RefSeq lists it as uncharacterized. The transcript is spliced from 3 exons. The record is from RefSeq and is a predicted model, not a curated record. Lineage: Eukaryota; Metazoa; Arthropoda; Malacostraca; Amphipoda; Hyalellidae.
UGCGGAGUACACGCGUCGUCCUGGAUUGUUCUCUGAUAAUACAAGUUUAAAUUAAGCAAGUUCCAAAUAUAAGAAACAUAUAAACGUUCUUCAUUGUUAACACUAAGAAUAAUGAAAUAAUUAUCAGUGAUUUUUCACGGGAAAAACAAGCAGUGAGAGUAAUUGAUCUACUGGAGAAGCAUUCCCGUCCUCGCUCCUGCUUCACAGUUGCCUCAAUUUACGCGUAGAGGGUUGUGAUGCGUUGUGAUGGCGGCCGCCGCGCCAGCAGAUGACGUAAGCGAGUUCAUCGCCAGCGGCAGGACAGGCCGACGAAACGCGGUGCCCGACAUCCGACACGGCCACGACGCACCGGGCGCUGCCGACCUGCCCGACGCGCUCAGCAAACUCUCAUGCGAGGACGCGGGAGCGAGUACCUCCGCCGCUGCAGGAGCUUCUGCCGCUGCUGGAACUGCGGCGGGUAGCGGGGAUGCCUCUGAUGCAAACGCUGCUUCAGGAGGUGCUGCGAAGUGAACGUUAACUCGAAUGACGGCAACACUGACGUUGAAUUAAAUGUUAAUGAGUAGUCGUCAUGAUGGUGACACUGAUUACCAAAGUGUAAUUUUGGGAACAUAGAACUCUCAGUAUGUUUACACUGAAGAGGAACAUGGUGCUCAUUUAAUGUGCACUUUGUGCAGCUUUCAUGAUGGUGAUGUCGAUUGAUGAUGUCUUAUUAUAUUAUAAAGAACUUUCAGUAUGGCUACACUGAAGUUGAGGCAACUAAAUUCGAAUAGAACAUCCUUGUUGGCAACUUUUUUUGAAACCUGAUAAAAUGAGAAGCGUAGAAUGCAAUACUCAUAUCUACAUUACAAGUCCUCGUGAAUAAUAAGAUAGAACUUUCCAAAAACCAUUAAGAAACAAGGAUUUACGAAUAUUUCGGAGCUGCUCGAAUUUCCCUCCAGACAGGCACGUUAUUAAUGUGAGUAGACUUAAAAUUCUAAACUUAGCUGUGGUAACAAGUAAAUUAUGGAAAAUGACAAAUUUUUCAUAAAAAUAUUAUGAAAAGAACAGAAUCGAACGACCAUCCUAAAUUUUUUAUUCAUCAAAGCUCCCCGUAAUUGAGCCAGGCAAAUUAUUAUUGUGGCAAAUUGUGGUGACGAGAAUAUUAGUGGUGACAAAUUGUUGUUAAAAAUUCACGUCAUGAAUUUUUGAUCGCAAGUUCUAAAAAUGAUAUUAAAUAAAGUUAUUCAUCCAGUGAUUGGUUGGAUUGCUCGGAAAAUGAAUACGGAUUUGAUUGUUAAAAUUUUUUGUUUCAACAAAAUUCUGGCAAUGGAAUUUUAGCUGGCCUCGAGUCAGCGUAGCUUCCUUCAAUUGUAUAUAUGAAAAUAAUUACUUUGAAUUUUCAGGGUCAAAAUGUCUCAUUAUAAAUGUACUUAAUGAAUUAAAAAACUACUUCAUAGAUCUUGCAUUUUGAUCAACCAACGUCAUCUGAAGAGUAUAUUUCGACCCUGAAAAUUUAAAUCGAUAAAUUCACUGGCUACUCACCGCCAGUGUUUAAACAAGUAUAUUUUACCAUCUAAUACUACCUUAUGGAAAUAAUUAUGACUAUGUAUAGCAACAGACUCCAUGGCUUCAUGAAUUAUUUUCUUACCAAGUUUCGACGCCUCCUGAUUGGUUUCUAUACAUAAUGAAUAAGUUUAAGUGGUACGUUUAUAAUUACAGAAUAUUACUUGUGCAAUAAAUGUUGCUAGAGCCCAGGAUUUAGCAAGCGCCAGCUAAUUGGCUCUAAAGGAAAGUUAUUAGAUAACUUGUGGUCUCAAAAUGUACUAUUGCCAUGUCCAAAGAUAAAUUACUCGAUUUUUUUGGAAGAUCAUUGAAAAAAGUAUGCACCGUUCGACAUUGCUUAAGUCACUAUAUCGGCUUAUUGACUGAAAGUUGAUUCAUUAAUCAUCUACCGAGACAUUUCUUGAACUAAAAUGUUAAAUUUUAACUUAUUAGAUAAUAAUGGGAAUUUUAUUCUGAAGUGUUAAAAAAUCUGGGUUUGUAGAGGUGGGUUGUUGCAUUCAACUUGAUUUAAUGUUGGGCGAAGUUGAAAAGUUGUUCCGCAUCUGCAGGGGACGAUCUUUAGCUAACAACUUUAUUGUUAGCUAAAGAUCGUUUACUUGAAUUGAAAGCCAAACCGCUUUGUCUUCAAAAAAAGCAAUAGGUGUUUUUUUAAUUUUUAUAGUUGACAAGAGCAAUUUUUGGUGAAACAGAAUGCAUAAUGCAAUGUAUACUUACGAGAUUCAAAUGUAUUUUUCACUGAAAUGCAAACUAAGACCAUUUUUUGUAGAAUUUCUAACUCAUCACUUCAACACGGGCAGUGAGUGUACAGCAGUUUGCUGUACGGAGCAUUGCAUUAAAAACUCUAGAAAUUUUACGUUUGUUUCCUCAAUUUUGAGGCCAACUUCUUGUGUACAGUUUAUCUAGAUUAAAUAAACCUAAAGUUUUUAUUUUCUUGUAUAAUAAUGAAGCAUGCACAGAUAAAUUUUUACAACUAAUUCCCAGUGUAUAGUAAACUGCGAAUAAUUGUGAAUACGCACUAAACAAAUCCAUAAUAGACAUUUUUAUCAGUGAUUGUGAAAAUAUUUCCUAACCGAAAACCAUUCACAUGUAUAUUAUCGCAUUUUUCAAGAACGGCAAUGUAAUGAAAUGUUAUUCGUAUCAGAGCUACGAAUGCAACGCUGUAUUUUUUAGAACGACAUGCCGACGUCGCUGCGAUGGAGAAUCGGCUCAGUAAGUUGUAAAUAAUAGGCAACACUUCCUCUGACUCUGAAGAGCCAUAGAUAGAAUAGACAUGGAAGCAGGUGAUGCAUAAUUGUGGUACUAGAUAUGCGGUCCUGGAGGUGUGGUCCUGGAGGAAGUCAGAGAGGUGUGGUCAGAAAGGUGUGGUGGUCAGAAAGGUGUCUCUGACCACCUGGUGUGGUCAGAGAGGUGUGAUCCUGAAGGUGUGGUCUUGGAGGUGUGGCCCUGGAGGUGUGGUCCUGAAGGUGUGGUCCGAGAGGUUUGGUCCUGGA